GUUGGUAUCAGAGCCCUGGUUUGAGAGAAUUAAGUAACAGGAGGUAAAUACUUGAACUCAAACCGGUGUGCUCUCGUGACCAAGAACCCGUGCAAUCCAAGACUCGAUCGAGGCCUAAAGGCAAAAGCGAAUGUAAGUAUGUAUUAGAUUAUGUAUUUGAAGGAAACUAAUAGUAUGUUUUGUAAAGGGUAAGCGCAAUUGUUGGAAGAGAUGAUCCGUGAAUGCGGUCUAGGACCGGCAUCGAGGCAAGUAAUGAAACGAAUUGACCCCAGGUACGUAAACCUAACGUAUGGGCGUAUGAAAUGGUAUGGUUAAGCAAGUGAAAGAAAAAUUUUGAACAAAUUAUGAUAACGACAUGGUAAAUAAGUUUUGAAAAUGUUACACGAGCCGAAACUAAAUUCUUCGGACAUAAGGUGGCGAUUACGUGAAGACACGAAACUAGUACGUGGAAUGUGUACCUGGCCAGUACACAAGAAACGUAUGACGUUCGUGAGACCGUGAUAAUUAUUACAGGUAUGUCCGAUAGAGUUUGGUAGCAGCUAGGCGUGUGGGUGAAAUGGGUAACGGAUUCAAGGAAUGA
RNAcentral lists this long non-coding RNA (580 nucleotides) under Helianthus annuus (common sunflower). Its description in RNAcentral is "hypothetical non coding rna". Lineage: Eukaryota; Viridiplantae; Streptophyta; Magnoliopsida; Asterales; Asteraceae. The record is from RNAcentral.